RNAcentral lists this ribosomal RNA (25 nucleotides) under Heliamphora pulchella. RNAcentral describes it as "partial 18S ribosomal RNA". The record is from RNAcentral. Lineage: Eukaryota; Viridiplantae; Streptophyta; Magnoliopsida; Ericales; Sarraceniaceae.
ACNUGCGGAAGGAUCAUUGUCGAAA